GCCGGAGUGGUGAAACUGGUAGACGCACGGGACUCAAAAUCCCGCGGGCCGCAAGCCCGUGUCGGUUCGAUUCCGACCUCCGGCACCA
This 88-nucleotide transfer RNA is filed under the name Deltaproteobacteria bacterium. Its description in RNAcentral is "tRNA-Leu". It matches the Rfam family "tRNA". From Rfam's summary of the family: Transfer RNA (tRNA) molecules are approximately 80 nucleotides in length. Their secondary structure includes four short double-helical elements and three loops (D, anti-codon, and T loops). Further hydrogen bonds mediate the characteristic L-shaped molecular structure. tRNAs have two regions of fundamental functional importance: the anti-codon, which is responsible for specific mRNA codon recognition, and the 3' end, to which the tRNAs corresponding amino acid is attached (by aminoacyl-tRNA synthetases). tRNAs cope with the degeneracy of the genetic code in two manners: having more than one tRNA (with a specific anti-codon) for a particular amino acid; and 'wobble' base-pairing, i.e. permitting non-standard base-pairing at the 3rd anti-codon position. RNAcentral also lists the same sequence under 1 other name. The record is from RNAcentral. Lineage: Bacteria; Pseudomonadati; Myxococcota; Myxococcia.